Molecule: RNase P RNA, 426 nt
Filed under: Cytophagales bacterium
Lineage: Bacteria; Pseudomonadati; Bacteroidota; Cytophagia; Cytophagales
Description: RNase P RNA component class A
Rfam family: Bacterial RNase P class A
About the family: Ribonuclease P (RNase P) is a ubiquitous endoribonuclease, found in archaea, bacteria and eukarya as well as chloroplasts and mitochondria.
Source: RNAcentral
AAAACAAGCCGUCUUAUCGCUGCAAAAUAAGUUUUGUGGAGGAAAGUCCGGGCAACACAGGGCAGCAUGCUUCCUAACGGGAAGGCAGUGAUGCUGAAAAGCAUGGCUGACAGCCAGUGCCACAGAAAAAAUACCGCUUCCUCCUUAAGCCAUUGGUGCACCAACAAUUGCCGAUGACUCAGGGAGGAAGUAAGGGUGAAAAGGCGGUGUAAGAGACCACCGUUUGGGCAGUGAUGACCAAAGCCAGGUAAACCUCAUGCGUUGAAAGACCAAAUAUGCCGACGUUUCAGCUUCGGCUGAUGUAAGGCUGCCCGUCUGAGUCGGUGGGUAGGUCGUUAGACCCAAAGCGUGAGUUUUGGGCAAGAUAAAUGAUAAGACCUUGCUGCAAAGCAUUGACAGAACCCGGCUUACAGGCUUGUUUUUCUU